GGAGGUUUAGCUCAGUUGGGAGAGCAUCUGCCUUACAAGCAGAGGGUCACAGGUUCAAGUCCUGUAACCUCCA
This 73-nucleotide transfer RNA is filed under the name Dolosigranulum pigrum. RNAcentral's name for it is "tRNA-Val(tac)". It matches the Rfam family "tRNA". Rfam says of the family: Transfer RNA (tRNA) molecules are approximately 80 nucleotides in length. The record is from RNAcentral. RNAcentral also lists the same sequence under 2 other names. Lineage: Bacteria; Bacillati; Bacillota; Bacilli; Lactobacillales; Carnobacteriaceae.